ACCGCACGCCGUAUGAGUAUUUGUUGGAGGUAUUUGAGGUUACCCUUCACGUCAUGCAAACAGGAAUGAAAUACUGAAUCUUCAUUUUUACCAUUUCGAAGAGACCAUGGAAAGUAAGGCGGUUAAUGGUUCCGAGAGCGAUGCACAGGGAUUUGGACACUGCCGUCCUUUAAUCUCAAGCAUAAUGGAAGAUCGUCAAAAAUAAACCUACAAGAUGGGUUUACAUAUUUUGAGGUUGGUUGUAUAUGAAUCCUACAUCAUCAUGCCUGAUACAUUCUACAGCUCUAAACAUGCCCAAAAACUUUUCUCUUAAGGCCAUUUAUGUGGGUGGGGCAAAUCAAAUGCCUUAAUUUUGAAAGGCGCGAGCAACGGCUGUGGUGGUGAUGGUAAGAUGUGUGUGGUCUCGUUGUGACCACCAAACCCCGCCGUUUUCAGUAGCAGCCAUGCCUUGGUCGGGUGAACAUCGCGGCUUUGCAGUGCGCACAUUUCUCGGAAAUGGCCGUUCUGUCGUCGCCACCAAGUGCGCCUGAUGGCAAAGCAAUCAGGAGUUGGGUUGAAGCAUUGGAAGAAACUGGUUCCUCAAGAAGACCUAGGGGUAGUCAUGGAGAAAGUGUUCAGAAGUCAGCCACACAAUUUGGAAGAAUUGAAGAUGUGAAUUUGGGAGGAUAUUGCUGCAAUACCCUUGAGAUGUGCCGAAGAGCAGCCGAAAACUUCAGAUAACGUCUUCAACAGUGCAUCGCUACAGAUGGCCACCAUAUCUUCCUGAUGCCAUUUUCAAAAAGUGAUCACUCAA
Long non-coding RNA from Penaeus chinensis, 793 nucleotides. RefSeq lists it as uncharacterized. The transcript is spliced from 3 exons. NCBI's taxonomy places the organism in Eukaryota, Metazoa, Arthropoda, Malacostraca, Decapoda, Penaeidae. The record is from RefSeq and is a predicted model, not a curated record.